GACGUAGGGUGCGAGCGUUGUCCGGAUUUAUUGGGCGUAAAGAGCUCGUAGGCGGCUCGUCGCGUCUGCCGUGAAAGUCCGGGGCUCAACUCCGGAUCUGCGGUGGGUACGGGCAGACUAGAGUGAUGUAGGGGGAGACUGGAAUUCCUGGUGUAGCGGUGGAAUGCGCAGAUAUCAGGAGGAACACCGGUGGCGAAGGCGGGUCUCUGGGCAGUAACUGACGCUGAGGAGCGAAAGCGUGGGGAGCGAACAGG
This 254-nucleotide ribosomal RNA is filed under the name uncultured bacterium. Its description in RNAcentral is "partial 16S ribosomal RNA". It matches the Rfam family "Bacterial small subunit ribosomal RNA", at positions 524 to 776 of the family's 1533-position model. The record is from RNAcentral.